CCGCCCAUAGCUCAGUUAGGAUAGAGCGACGGAUUCCUAAUCCGCAGGUCGGAGGUUCAAGUCCUCUUGGGCGGG
Molecule: transfer RNA, 75 nt
Filed under: Bacillota bacterium
Lineage: Bacteria; Bacillati; Bacillota
Description: Firmicutes bacterium (hot springs metagenome) tRNA-Arg
Rfam family: tRNA
About the family: Transfer RNA (tRNA) molecules are approximately 80 nucleotides in length.
Source: RNAcentral